CUCUACGGGAGGCAGCAGUGGGGAAUUUUGGACAAUGGGGGCAACCCUGAUCCAGCCAUGCCGCGUGAGUGAAGAAGGCCUUCGGGUUGUAAAGCUCUUUCGGUGGGAACGAAACGGGUGCGGCUAAUACCCGCAUUUAAUGACGGUACCUACAGAAGAAGCACCGGCUAACUACGUGCCAGCAGCCGCGGUAAUACGUAGGGUGCGAACGUUAAUCGGAAUUACUGGGCGUAAAGCGUGCGCAGGCGGCGCGUUAAGACAGGUGUGAAAGCCCCGAGCUUAACUUGGGAAUUGCGCUUGUGACUGGCGAGCUGGAGUGUGGCAGAGGGAGGUGGAAUUCCACGUGUAGCAGUGAAAUGCGUAGAGAUGUGGAGGAACACCGAUGGCGAAGGCAGCCUCCUGGGCCAGCACUGACGCUCAUGCACGAAAGCGUGGGGAGCAAACAGGAUUAGAUACCCUGGUAGUCCACGCCCUAAACGAUGUCAACUGGUUGUUGGUGGGGUUAAACCCAUUAGUAACGAAGCUAACGCGUGAAGUUGACCGCCUGGGGAGUACGGCCGCAAGGUUAAAACUCAAAGGAAUUGACGGGGACCCGCACAAGCGGUGGAUGAUGUGGAUUAAUUCGAUGCAACGCGAAGAACCUUACCUACCCUUGACAUGCCAGGAAGCCCGCUGAG
RNAcentral lists this ribosomal RNA (677 nucleotides) under uncultured bacterium. RNAcentral's name for it is "bacterial SSU rRNA". It matches the Rfam family "Bacterial small subunit ribosomal RNA", at positions 337 to 1005 of the family's 1533-position model. The record is from RNAcentral.